Molecule: long non-coding RNA, 2372 nt
Organism: Crotalus tigris (Tiger rattlesnake)
Lineage: Eukaryota; Metazoa; Chordata; Lepidosauria; Squamata; Viperidae
Exons: 3
Source: RefSeq, a predicted model, not a curated record
GCAUGUGGGGGAAAAUAUUUGAGCAGGACUUUGCACCUUGUGGUUCCUGUUAAUGGAUCUCCUUUAUACCAGGGACUGUCCCUGGCCAACAACAGAUACACAGAGAAUACUUCCAGGGAGCGGAGAUCUUGGUUGUGGAACUAAAGCCCCCUUCGUAUGAAGCACUCUUGUGUUGAUUAACAACAGGUUGAGUAGAAGACGCUUUAGAGCAUCUUCUAAAGCAGUGUUUCCCAACCUCAAUGAUUUUAAGAAAGAGUGGAUUUCAAUUCCCAGAAUUCUCCAGCCAUUAUUCUGAAAGUUGAAGUCCAUUCACUUUGUUGAAAAGGACAUCAUACAAGUCCAGUUUAAGAAUGAAGUAAGAAGAGUUGCCAGGAGCUGAUCUUAUUCUCUGAAAAGAAGAAAAGAAAUGGCUUUUCAUCAGUUAUGGAUGGCUGAGUGUAGCUUUGGAGUAACUAGAGCACAGGGGCCUGCAGGCCAAAAGAAGUGCUUAUUAACAGUGGGCAAAUACUUAUAGCUGGUCAUUGCUUUUCUGCAGCAGGCAUCCUUGAUGGGUUUAUGCAUGCUGAGGACUCUUCUGCUUAGAAACACACAAUGGAAUGCCUGCUAUUUAUAAUCCUAAAAUAAAACAAGGAAGUUAAGGCAGGGGGAGGUAACAGAAUGCUGGCAUCCACUUUGGAAUGUGGAAGUUUAGGUUUCAGCAAUAGCAGGAAGACAAGAAUAAUUGGGGUUUCCUGACAAAGUGCAACCUGGUCAUUUGGUAUGUUUUCAGGAACUCACAGGUUUCACUGUGAUGACCAUGGAAUUUCUUUAACAUUUCAGUUUGGAAACCCCCGGGAUCAUUUCAAUGUGGUACUUCUUCUACUCCCCAAUAAUAAAUAAAAUAAAUUGCUACUCCCCUCCAAUCUACAUUUUCAUGACCCUGUUUUGUGCAUUUGGUUGUUUGUAGAUAAUGCUGUGUGCUUCUAAGACCUGCCUGUCUGUAAAGUUGUCAUUUUUCUGUACUGAAGAUCCUGUUCAUCCUUCUUUUCCCAAGUCCAUCCAAGCAAAACAGUGGACAAGUGACUGUGAGGAGGAGAGAGAAAACUCUGAACACCUAAAAUAUCCCCACCGUUCACUUCACACAUAAGGAAGAGAAAGGAAAUGGGUCGUAAGGCAAUGAAGAAAGCCCAAAGAGCAUGUUUUUCUUUAAUGGAGACUAGUUCUGUGCAAAACACACAGAGAUGAAUGGCUGCUGCGGAAGAGGCUCUGACAAGUCAUGAAGUCAUCCUUCCUCUAUCAGGGAACAGAGUACAAGGGCAACUGAAGCCUGGAAAUGGAGCCAGAGUUCCCAGCAAUGGGGAACAGAGCAUCCAGAACCUGCAGUGCUUCAGCUUUGCAGAGAUUCCUUUUUUCCUGGUUUGGGUUCUACUAUAGACGGACCAGAAAUAAAGUAUACGAUGAAUGAACAUAAAAACAUGUGACAGGAGAGAAUUGCAAAGGUGAUCGUGGAACAAAACAUAUAAACUGAAAGGGCCUUAUUUUGAAGAGCUCUGAAAUCUAGAAAGUGUGUCGUUGAAAACACAAUGUGAAAAUGUAACUCGAGUUAAUUUCCCAGACUUCUCAUAACUCAGUUUUUUAUAUUAAUUGAAAAUAUUAGAAUUACAUUCAUUUGAAGAUCUCUAUUAUAAUUCUAUUAUUUACUGAUGAACAUAACCUGUUUCUAUCUGAGUAACUCUUCUGGGGUUAGAUUGGCUUGAAACCAUAUAUCUUGCAGACAUGGCUUAAAACCAUAUAUCUUGCAGAGACACAAUGAUGGAGAGUCCUCUUCAGAGUGGAUAAUUGGAUACAUAGGGGAACAUGGGUCUCCAGGAGAGGUUAAAGGCAAGGCUAUAUCAAUGACUCAAAUCACUUUACAACCUGUACUUUGUUUAGCAGAGAUCUCUAGUAGAUUUCCAUGUUGGUUCUCCAUGCUGCUUUCUUGAGUCCAUUAUUUCCUCAUCUCACAAAGCAAGACAAAAUGUGUUGUGCAGGUCUGAGACCAUUUGUAGCAUUUGUCACAUUACUGGAGUCACUACCUGGUUUCUAGAAAUGGCUAAAGGCACCCGCUUUAUGCUGUAUAUAAUAUAUCCUUCCAUAUUCACGUUUAUUACCGAGACCUUCUAGGAGCAAAAGGAAGGACCUAAUUAGGGUGGAUAUGAGGGCAUCUUGCAUGCCGAAAUAAUUUUGAACCAACACUUCCAAAGCCACAUGUACAGGCAAAAUGUUGAACUUAUAGAUCAUGUAGCAAAGAAAUUGGGGUCUGACAGUUAGGGACAUUGAAGGAGGCCAUUUUAACUAUGUCUUGUCCAUCAUACAUUAUUUUUCUUAAGAAACAGGCCUGCUGAGAAAUAAAA